RNAcentral lists this ribosomal RNA (909 nucleotides) under Neofusicoccum vitifusiforme. RNAcentral describes it as "LSU rRNA". It matches the Rfam family "Eukaryotic large subunit ribosomal RNA", at positions 36 to 963 of the family's 3401-position model. The record is from RNAcentral. Lineage: Eukaryota; Fungi; Ascomycota; Dothideomycetes; Botryosphaeriales; Botryosphaeriaceae.
UAGCAUAUCAAUAAGCGGAGGAAAAGAAACCAACAGGGAUUGCCUUAGUAACGGCGAGUGAAGCGGCAAUAGCUCAAAUUUGAAAGCUGGCCCCUUCGGGGUCCGCGUUGUAAUUUGUAGAGGAUGGUUCGGCGAGGGCUCCCGUCUAAGUCCCUUGGAACAGGGCGUCAUAGAGGGUGAGAAUCCCGUAUGUGAUGGGCUGCCUUAGCCAUGUGAACCUCCUUCGACGAGUCGAGUUGUUUGGGAAUGCAGCUCUAAAUGGGAGGUAAAUUUCUUCUAAAGCUAAAUACCGGCCAGAGACCGAUAGCGCACAAGUAGAGUGAUCGAAAGAUGAAAAGCACUUUGGAAAGAGAGUUAAAAAGUACGUGAAAUUGUUGAAAGGGAAGCGCUUGCAGCCAGACUUGUCCGCAGUUGCUCAGCCUGUCUCCUGACAGGCGCACUCUUCUGCGGCCAGGCCAGCAUCAGUUCGGGCGGUCGGAUAAAGACCCGGGGAAUGUAGCUCCUCUCGGGGAGUGUUAUAGCCCUGGGUGCAAUGCGGCCAGCCUGGACUGAGGAUCUCGCUUCGGCUAGGAUGCUGGCGUAAUGGCUGUAAGCGGCCCGUCUUGAAACACGGACCAAGGAGUCUAACAUCUAUGCGAGUGUUUGGGUGUCAAACCCAUGCGCGUAAUGAAAGUGAACGGAGGUGGGAACCCUCACGGGUGCACCAUCGACCGAUCCUGAUGUCUUCGGAUGGAUUUGAGUAAGAGCAUAGCUGUUGGGACCCGAAAGAUGGUGAACUAUGCCUGAAUAGGGUGAAGCCAGAGGAAACUCUGGUGGAGGCUCGCAGCGGUUCUGACGUGCAAAUCGAUCGUCAAAUUUGGGUAUAGGGGCGAAAGACUAAUCGAACCAUCUAGUAGCUGGUUCCUGCGA